CGCUAUCACUCCUACGGGGAGCAGCAGUAGGGAAUCUUCCACAAUGGGCGCAAGCCUGAUGGAGCAACACCGCAUGAGUGAAGAAGGGUUUCGGCUCGUAAAGCUCUGUUGUUAAAGAAGAACACGUAUGAGAGUAACUGUUCAUACGUUGACGGUAUUUAACCAGAAAGUCACGGCUAACUACGUGCCAGCAGCCGCGGUAAUACGUAGGUGGCAAGCGUUAUCCGGAUUUAUUGGGCGUAAAGAGAGUGCAGGCGGUUUUCUAAGUCUGAUGUGAAAGCCUUCGGCUUAACCGGAGAAGUGCAUCGGAAACUGGAUAACUUGAGUGCAGAAGAGGGUAGUGGAACUCCAUGUGUAGCGGUGGAAUGCGUAGAUAUAUGGAAGAACACCAGUGGCGAAGGCGGCUACCUGGUCUGCAACUGACGCUGAGACUCGAAAGCAUGGGUAGCGAACAGGAUUAGAUACCCUGGUAG
This 473-nucleotide ribosomal RNA is filed under the name uncultured bacterium. RNAcentral describes it as "bacterial SSU rRNA". It matches the Rfam family "Bacterial small subunit ribosomal RNA", at positions 328 to 793 of the family's 1533-position model. The record is from RNAcentral.